GACGAACGCUGGCGGCGUGCUUAACACAUGCAAGUCGAACGGAAAGGCCCUGCUUGCCGGGUACUCGAGUGGCGAACGGGUGGGUAACACGUGGGUGAUCUGCCCUGCACUUCGGGAUAAGCCUGGGAAACUGGGUCUAAUACCGGAUAGGAGCCAUUUUUAGUGUGAUGGUUGGAAAGUUUUUUCGGUGUAGGAUGAGCUCGCGGCCUAUCAGCUUGUUGGUGGGGUAAUGGCCUACCAAGGCGGCGACGGGUAGCCGGCCUGAGAGGGUGGACGGCCACAUUGGGACUGAGAUACGGCCCAGACUCCUACGGGAGGCAGCAGUGGGGAAUAUUGCACAAUGGGCGCAAGCCUGAUGCAGCGACGCCGCGUGGGGGAUGACGGCCUUCGGGUUGUAAACGCCUUUCGCUAGGGACGAAGCUUUUUGUGACGGUACCUAGAUAAGAAGCACCGGCUAACUACGUG
Molecule: ribosomal RNA, 465 nt
Filed under: uncultured bacterium
Lineage: Bacteria
Description: partial 16S ribosomal RNA
Rfam family: Bacterial small subunit ribosomal RNA
Source: RNAcentral